GAUCAUGGCUCAGGAUGAACGCUAGCUACAGGCUUAACACAUGCAAGUCGAGGGGCAGCAUGACCUAGCAAUAGGUUGAUGGCGACCGGCGCACGGGUGAGUAACACGUAUCCGACCUACCGGUUAUUCCGGGAUAGCCUUUCGAAAGAAAGAUUAAUACCGGAUAGUAUAACGAGAAGGCAUCUUUUUGUUAUUAAAGAAUUUCGAUAACCGAUGGGGAUGCGUUCCAUUAGUUUGUUGGCGGGGUAACGCC
Molecule: ribosomal RNA, 253 nt
Filed under: uncultured bacterium
Lineage: Bacteria
Description: partial 16S ribosomal RNA
Rfam family: Bacterial small subunit ribosomal RNA
Source: RNAcentral